CACGAAGUGAGUGGCGGACGGGUGAGUAACACGUGGGUAACCUGCCCAGAAGCAGGGGAUAACACCUGGAAACAGAUGCUAAUACCGUAUAACAGAGAAAACCGCCUGGUUUUCUUUUAAAAGAUGGCUCUGCUAUCACUUCUGGAUGGACCCGCGGCGCAUUAGCUAGUUGGUGAGGUAACGGCUCACCAAGGCGAUGAUGCGUAGCCGACCUGAGAGGGUAAUCGGCCACAUUGGGACUGAGACACGGCCCAGACUCCUACGGGAGGCAGCAGUAGGGAAUCUUCCACAAUGGACGCAAGUCUGAUGGAGCAACGCCGCGUGAGUG
RNAcentral lists this ribosomal RNA (328 nucleotides) under Pediococcus acidilactici. Its description in RNAcentral is "bacterial SSU rRNA". It matches the Rfam family "Bacterial small subunit ribosomal RNA", at positions 85 to 407 of the family's 1533-position model. The record is from RNAcentral. Lineage: Bacteria; Bacillati; Bacillota; Bacilli; Lactobacillales; Lactobacillaceae.